Molecule: ribosomal RNA, 468 nt
Filed under: uncultured bacterium
Lineage: Bacteria
Description: partial 16S ribosomal RNA
Rfam family: Bacterial small subunit ribosomal RNA
Source: RNAcentral
GAUGAACGCUGGCGGCGUGCUUAACACAUGCAAGUCGAACGGUGAAGGCGGAGCUUGCUCUGCUGGAUCAGUGGCGAACGGGUGAGUAACACGUGAGCAAUCUGCCCCUGACUCUGGGAUAAGCGCUGGAAACGGCGUCUAAUACUGGAUACGAGCUGCGAAGGCAUCUUCAGCAGCUGGAAAGAACUUCGGUCAGGGAUGAGCUCGCGGCCUAUCAGCUUGUAGGUGAGGUAACGGCUCACCAAGGCGUCGACGGGUAGCCGGCCUGAGAGGGUGACCGGCCACACUGGGACUGAGACACGGCCCAGACUCCUACGGGAGGCAGCAGUGGGGAAUAUUGCACAAUGGGCGAAAGCCUGAUGCAGCAACGCCGCGUGAGGGACGACGGCCUUCGGGUUGUAAACCUCUUUUAGCAGGGAAGAAGCGAAAGUGACGGUACCUGCAGAAAAAGCGCCGGCUAACUACGUG